UGGGGAAUAUUGCACAAUGGGCGCAAGCCUGAUGCAGCCAUGCCGCGUGUAUGAAGAAGGCCUUCGGGUUGUAAAGUACUUUCAGCGGGGAGGAAGGGAGUAAAGUUAAUACCUUUGCUCAUUGACGUUACCCGCAGAAGAAGCACCGGCUAACUCCGUGCCAGCAGCCGCGGUAAUAUGGAGGGUGCAAGCGUUAAUCGGAAUUACUGGGCGUAAAGCGCACGCAGGCGGUUUGUUAAGUCAGAUGUGAAAUCCCCGGGCUCAACCUGGGAACUGCAUCUGAUACUGGUCAGCUAGAGUCUUGUAGAGGGGGGUAGAAUUCCAUGUGUAGCGGUGAAAUGCGUAGAGAUGUGGAGGAAUACCGGUGGCGAAGGCGGCCCCCUGGACAAAGACUGACGCUCAGGUGCGAAAGCGUGGGGAGCAAACAGG
RNAcentral lists this ribosomal RNA (429 nucleotides) under Chloroflexota bacterium. Its description in RNAcentral is "Chloroflexi bacterium partial 16S ribosomal RNA". It matches the Rfam family "Bacterial small subunit ribosomal RNA", at positions 355 to 776 of the family's 1533-position model. The record is from RNAcentral. Lineage: Bacteria; Bacillati; Chloroflexota.